Molecule: long non-coding RNA, 1120 nt
Organism: Dioscorea cayenensis subsp. rotundata (Guinea yam)
Lineage: Eukaryota; Viridiplantae; Streptophyta; Magnoliopsida; Dioscoreales; Dioscoreaceae
Exons: 3
Source: RefSeq, a predicted model, not a curated record
UCACCCCCUACACUCUCAAGUGUGCCGCCGAGCUAUUGCUUUCCUUUGUCCCUGUGUUUUUACCCUUUUUUUUUUUUUGUAAACCUAACCCUAGCUCUCAAUGUUUGCCCCUGUGUUUUUCUCCUUCUCAUCGGCGUAAGCCUUCUUGCCUUUUCCGGAGUAGAAUCUCAGGUUUUGGGAUAGUUUUAAGCGGCGGUGUGGUGGUUGAUCAUAUACACUCCUCUAUAUCUCUCUAUCUAUCGAUUUGUGUGUGUUUCUAUCUUUUUUUUAUUUUCUUCUCUGAAUCUCUCUACAGAGAUCUUGAAUUGAUUGAUGAUUUUGUGUUUUACUAAUAGCUUCUCAAAGAAUUCUUGGAAUCAUUUGAUCCUACGUCUUCAUUCAUCCCAUGAAAUCUCGGCAAAUUAUUCUGAUAGUUCUCUUAGUAUGCAUACUCUGAGUUGUAGUAGGCCACUCAUUUUUUGCAAUUUUGCUCUAUCCUAAAAUUGUAUUCUUUCUAACCUUUUAUUCCUGUAAUCAGAUUGCCAUGAAGUGCAAUAUCUUCAUCAAAAUUUGUCAAUGAAAAAGACACCCUGUUGAAGUUGCUUCAUCUUUGUGGAGAUAGCAUGCCAUGACAGAAUCAUGAAAUCAAGGAAAUAAAUGAAGAGAAAAAAAAAUCAAUAGCUGCUCAGUUUGCAACAGAAGCUACAUUUAGGAUAGUUCAUGCGGAAAUAAAGGAUGAUAACAUGCCUCCAAUUGAAGCCAUUCUUGCACACCUGAAGGUAGAGCUUAAGCUUGACCGCCAAGAGCUGUAGGAUGAUAACAGAGCAUUGGAUUGGCUUACCAAAUCAAAAGAAGCAGCAUUACUUGAAUCAGAGAGAAUCGUGCAAAUAGCACUCACAAAAGCCUCUAUACUGGAUGAUCUACAAAAUAAGAACCAAGAAUUAAUGAAACAUAUUGAAAUCUAUCUGGUAAAAGAAUAGAACUUGGUUAUGGACCAUUCUAGCUUCUUAAGAUGUUUAUUUUUCCCCCAUGUUAAAGGUAUUGUGUUUUUAAAUGAUGCACACUGUUAGGAAACAGGCUUAGCUCCUUCAUACCAGUUCAUCAGUCACUUCCAAAUAAGGGUUUUUCAUCUUUUUAUGGA